This 194-nucleotide ribosomal RNA is filed under the name uncultured bacterium. Its description in RNAcentral is "partial 16S rRNA". It matches the Rfam family "Bacterial small subunit ribosomal RNA", at positions 338 to 524 of the family's 1533-position model. The record is from RNAcentral.
CCUACGGGAGGCAGCAGUGGGGAAUAUUGGACAAUGGGCGCAAGCCUGAUCCAGCAAUGCCGCGUGUGUGAAGAAGGCCUGCGGGUUGUAAAGCACUUUCAGUGGGGAGGAAGGCCUUGUUGUGAAUAACAGCAAGGAUUGACGUUACCUANNNAAGAAGCACCGGCUAANUCUGUGCCAGCAGCCGCCGUAAU